Molecule: non-coding RNA, 77 nt
Organism: Podarcis lilfordi (Lilford's wall lizard)
Lineage: Eukaryota; Metazoa; Chordata; Lepidosauria; Squamata; Lacertidae
Source: the annotation of a GenBank genome assembly
GCUGGAUUACUGUUUUAUGUUGGUAGAGCAUGAGACUCUUAAUCACAGAGUUGUGGGUUCAAGCCCCAUGUUGGGCA